GAAACCUUCACCGCUUUAACUCUUUUCGAGGACGACUCUUAUUUUGGAUUAUUUUAUAUGAACCUGAGGGAAUGCGAUUUGAAAGCGUCGAAAAAAGAAAUUGAAAAAAAAAAAGAAGAUGGCGAGUCAUUUGAACAAUAAUUCUGAAGUGGAGGAGGAGCACUCGUCGAAGGAAAUAAGAAGUCAAUGGAUGAGAAAUAGGGGUGGACUCUGGAAGCGGAGACGGUUGUCUCUACAUUCUGGCACGAGCGGGCCCGAGUUUACUGCUACGACCGGCUUCAGUGAGGCAAAAACAAAUGCUUCAGACCGACGUCAUGACAGCGAAAGUGAUUGGCAAAGAUAUUUUCUAGAAAAAAAUUAAGGAAAUUGAAGACAUUGCGGUAUUGAAUUUCACUCAAUCCAAUUAUUCAAAUUACUUUUCUUCAAAAAACAAUAUUUUUUAUUGUAAUUAUAAAUGAAAACAAUGUUGAUGUAUUUACAUUUUAAAUUUACUUUCCUAUAGUUGUAUUUUUUUUAUUUUACAUUAUCCCCUUAUUAUAUUAUAAUUAUCUUUGUUUGUUA
Theobroma cacao (cacao) is the source of this 561-nucleotide long non-coding RNA. RefSeq lists it as uncharacterized. The record is from RefSeq and is a predicted model, not a curated record. Lineage: Eukaryota; Viridiplantae; Streptophyta; Magnoliopsida; Malvales; Malvaceae.